Xyrichtys novacula (pearly razorfish) is the source of this 5141-nucleotide non-coding RNA. Lineage: Eukaryota; Metazoa; Chordata; Actinopteri; Labriformes; Labridae. The record is from the annotation of a GenBank genome assembly.
AGGCUGCAAAGCGCUGAUACAGAGCUACUGAAAAGCCACACCACCGAGAGGGAAGGAAAGAAUGCCCAGAUGGUGAACCAAUGAGGGGUGAGCUAACCUUCUAACAACAAAAUUUAGCAUUUCUAAUCCCAACUGGCUGAUUGGCCUGCAGGCUGUGGCGCCUCAGAUGUGCAAAAAGCCUCCUGUCGGCCUGCAGCUUUCACACACACGGAGGGAAUUCAAAAUGCCACAGUGAUGAGCGCUGGUGGUGCUGUGCUUGUGGCCCCGGCCCCACCUGAUGGUGAAUCUGUGUGCACUAGAGCUUGUAAUUACAGAAGGAGGUGGUGGUAAUAGAGAGUAGCGUACAGGCAAACACAAGCAGACAGCUGGCCCCUGUCAGUCUUACAGCUCAUACAUCGGGGACAUGCUCUGAUUUUAGUGAUGCUCUGAAACUUAAGAGCAGAUUACUGGCCAUGUAUGGACAGAAAAUGCUGUGGGAUAGAUGAUAAUUAUAGGGAUGCUUACAGAGAUAGAGUUACUGAUGCAUUUCAUGAUGCAGGCACUUUCACAAAGCUCUGUAGAAAUAUGUUACCUCUCACUUUCAGUAUUGCUUUGAUGUUUUGGAUAUUGGCUACAUGAUGAGGCCACUUAUGCAUGAGAGAAAAAUGGCAGCCACCACAUGUAAUCCUUAGAAACUAACUGGCAGGAUUUAAAAUGGCGUGUACUGAUACAGUGAAAAGACAUAUAUACGCUGGUGACCAAACAAGAAAACUCUGAAGCCAUGCUUGCAGCACUUUAAGCUGUGUACUAGCUUUGGUUUGCUAUAAUGUCAACCAUGGCGAUGCAUACCUUAUAUUUGGCAGGGAUGAAUUUUAACAUUACCAUCUCUGUUUGCCAUAUAAUGCAUGGAAACAGUAAUUGAUUAGCAUUAUACAAAUAUCACAGGUGAUGUUUGGAGUGUCAUUGGUCGAGCUUUUAUCUGGCCUGUUGGGAAGAUUAUAGUUUUGACUUGGUGAUGAGAUGACACUGCACAUAAAAUUAGGCAACCCACAUAGUUGUUAUAUUUGGAUAAAGAUCCAAAGAUGUAAACCUCAUAGUGGUGCAAAGGAGAACUCAAGGAGAGCCAUCAGGAUUAUUUCUGCAUAUAUUUCUGCAAGGACUGCUGGCAUUAGGGCCACUUCUGUAACUGCUGUAAACACCUGUUUUUAUUUUCCUAAGUAUAAUAUCAGGAAAUGGUUGUGUCUUGCAUUAGAGUCACCUCCUUAACUGUGCAAAUAUUAAAGAAUUUGAUUUUGUUUGAAUUUAUGUGAUUUUUCUGUUGACAUUUUCUUUGCACUCAAUCACUCCUGUAUUACUCCUGUAGGUGACCCAUGCUAUAUUGUGGUUUGUGGUUGUCUGUUUUCUUCGUUUUGGUUGAUGUCACUUUCACACAGUUUCUUGGGUAUUUUAACGGCCCUUCGAGCUCCUGCGUGUUUUUCAUCUUCUCAGCUCAUUUUCUUGCUGUGGUCGGCAGUAAAUAACUGAAUCAAACGUUUUGUGCUCUUCAGAUAAAUUGUGAGCAAGACUGAAAAUGCCUUCCACAUUGUCUUUUGAUAUCAAAACUGAUCAGUUUCGUCAGUUACUGUCGCCUGAAAGAGGUGUGAUAACAACUUGACAAAUGUGCAGGACUCCUUUCUGUUUAUUGAUUUGACAUUUUUAGCAAUCUGGCUACCCAUGGUGUCAUUGUUGCAUUUCAAACUGAAUAACUAUUGUUAUGUUUUUGUAAUUUUUAAUUUUUGUUGUUAUUUUGAUGGGACAGCCAGAGAGAGAAGUAAUGUAGAUGGGGGUAUAUGGCUCGCACCAAAUGAUACCAGGACCAGGAAUCCAUACUGAUGAUGGCACCCCAAAUGUUCUCAUUGGGUUCUGAACAAUCAGAAUCAAGUUUUAAGCACAGCCAACUGGUAAGUAAGAGAGCUCAGUGAUAACAUUUUAAAAAUUUCGCCCUCAUAUGGCGACCCUGGCUGCACCCUUCCAGGAAGUGAAGCUCAGGUCCGGAGUUUUUUCAUAUUCCUGCUAACAGAGAGAGGAAUAAACAAAUAACACACAAAUGACCAAAAAGGCACCACAGAAAACACAUCCUCUUUGGCGUCAGUAAUAUACUGCAUUACCUUACAGUCUUAUGGCAUUAUCCACUGAAAGACCAUGUUAGCUCUGAACCUGAGUGAAGUGCAUGGAUUGUCUGCUUUCCAAGUCAGUUUUAAUGCUUGCCCAUCAAUGCCAAGUGUUCAUUAGCAUCUCAAAUACCUAGUUUGAGCUAACAUUUUUUCAACAGUGCUGUAUGUUGGCUUAGUACUUUACAGCUUAUGGAAAUCAAUGUGUAUGUUUGAGCAUAUGAAAAAAAGAGAUAAAGAGCAGGAAGUAAACGGAGAGACUCACUGACAAACAAACAGACAGACACACAGAAAGAGCCCUGUAACUGUAGCUUUUCCAUGUCUCUUAAUCCUAAAAGCCUCUGUUCUUCUCGGGUGGUGGAGAGAGGGCGGGACUGUUGUCAGGACCAGUUAUGUGUAACACUGUGGGCCCACAGAAUGUGUCUGGCUCUUCAUUGGUAAGGCAGUCAGGUAGGACGCUGCUGGGCCUCUCCAGAAGAGCCUCGGUGCACGGUUUCCGCCCGCAGUGAAAGGAUCGAGACAAAGUGAUGUGUCUGUUGCCGGGUGACUCACAAAAAGAACCCAGGGUGCAUUUCUAAAAAAAGGGAGGGUGGAAGCACUGUGGCAGAGUAAAACAAAUACUGGCCUCCAUCCCUGCCUGCCUCAGUCUUCUCACAGCCGAGUAGGAAUGUGGAAGUCGACGAGGGAGAGUUUGAAGGGAAAAUUAAGCCAGAGUGUCCCUGCCGAACCAGCUUAUCCUGAGAUGUAAGAAUAUCUAGAAGAGCUGCAUCAAAACACAACAGUGAAGGUCAAAUCAGCCACUGACAGUUUUACCCAAGCAACAUAUUUAGUCAAAUUCCAGAGUAAAGGACUCGCAAUUAAGUUGUAAGCUGAAACAUCCCUCUCAUUUCUGAAGAUCAUCUCAGUGAAAUGUUGAGCAGGACCAGAUUCAUGAUGAGCCAUAUUUAUCCAUCCUUUGUCAGAGUGUAAUGAUUUUCGACCCCGUCAUGAUUUAUUUAUAGCAGCCUGAACUACAGAUAAAUGUGAAAUGUCAUUUCCAAUGUACACAAUAAAAAGUCAAUCAAAAAAGAAAUGCUUGUUUUGCGUGACUGAUGACAGAGCUGCCGUAUAUGGAAUACACAACCAUUACGUGUAAUUAGUUGAGCUAUUGCUGAGGUUGGCACACAGUUACUCAAAAAUUUAACUCCAUUAUUAGGAGGCUAUGCUCUCUGGAUUUCUUUAUCAUUUCCUUGAAGUAAUACUCACCAUACUAAUCAUUUUGCACUGCAGAUGCAGUAGAUCUUCGGUCUUUGCGUCUUGGUCUGAUUGCAUUUCCAUAAAGAAAUCAUAAUUGUUCCUCUUCGAGCUGCGUCACCCCGCAGCAGUCUGUAAUAGACUGGCCUGAGGUCUCUACAAACAAGCGGCUGCUGCAAGAGAGUAGGUGAGUUGUGUUUAGUCUUUUUGCUAAAAAAAUCAGGCAAAGUUAAAAAGAUGUUUGGUGGCUAAUGCUUGGCUCCGACCCUAUAUGCACUGUUGAUGAAGUUAGGGGCUGUUCUGAGCAUUAUUUGUGGCUAUAGAGUGGCUUUUUGGUUGAGGUUUGUGUGUGGUUCCAUAGACCGCUGUGUAUUGCUUUCGUGUGGUCAUUACUAAAGUUGGAGAAGCAAGCAGUCGGCAACAUUCAUCUCUUGAGGGGGUGUCUAACUCGGUGUUACAGAAUGUUUGACCAUAAACGAGUUUUACGCCGGAAUAUCCCUUUAAGUAUCAUAAUCAAAAAGUCUGUUUAGAUGGACAAUAUUUUUCUUUUUAAUUGACUCUAUCUGAUUUUAGUUAAUUUCCGCUUGUACUUCCGUUAUUUUUCCAGUAGGCUACUGUUUAGAGAAAAUCCAACGUCAAAUGGCAGCAGUUUUAUAAUACGCCUAUUUAAUUGGUUGUACGUGAGUCAUGUCACAUUUUCUGUGUUGUGAUUGGCUAAGGGGCGGGCGCUUCGGAUUCGUUACGGCCGGGUGAAAGCUCAAGAAACGCGUAUUGGAAGUUUAUUAAAAUUUCAUCUAGGAGUGAUUUCAGGCUGAAAUAGUAAUUCAAAGUUGUAAUCCUGUAAAACUGUGUUGUGAACGGCUGAUUAGGGAAGCGACGGAUGUAUGUGCUGCCGCGAAAUGAGUAACUGACAGUAGCUUAGUAGCUAGUAGUGUUGUUAGCAUGGUGCUAACUAGCCUCCGGAGCCUGAUGACGCAGUACGUUGUAAACGGCUCAGGUGCGCCGGAAGAAAACCUGGGAGCUCAUUCAGUACCUGAGGAGGAAGAGGAGACUAUCUGGUGGUUCACCAUGGUCAACAACCAACCUGCCAGUUUAAUCCACCACAUAGGGGAGAGUGGGAUUUUUCAUAUUUCAGAUCACUACAUCAAGUCAAUCAUGUUUUUGUCUCUAUCUAGUGUAUCUGGAUUUAUUUCAAGAUGUUGUGCAUCCCUGACUGCAUGACUGUCUUGAUAAUAUAGCAUGACAAAAAAGUGGUCUCCUAUGAUCAACUUACCCCAUGGGGUCAACUUACCCCAUGGGGUAAGUUGACCAUAGGAGCAGGGUAGGUUGAGAGGUAUCCCUACUCUCCACCCCAGCCUUCUCUCACCACCUCUCUCCCUAAAUAACAGUCACUUCUUCACAUUAUUAGUCCUCUAAGCUAAAAUGGUGGACUCUGGGUUUUUGACCUCAUGUUGUAGCUCAUAGAUACCACAAUUGAUGUAUAAAACAAGUUUUAAAAUGAUCUUUCUUUGGUCUGAACACAAUUCUUAAGAAACUCAUUAUAGACUUAAUUCACUUUCAAGAGUGAAAAAUGAUUUUUUUUUUUUUUUUUGGAAAUAAAUGUCUAACUCCUUCACCCAUGUGCUUCUAAUCUUCACAGACUCCAUGAAUUGAUGCCCAUCUCCUAAAUAUUUGGUCACAUGAUCAAUUUCUUUUACCAUUUCCAAGCAACAGGGGGUGGCUCAACUUACCCCACUCUCCCCUAGAGAUGAAGAGCCCUAUCAUCUAAAUUCUGCAAUU